This 490-nucleotide ribosomal RNA is filed under the name uncultured bacterium. RNAcentral describes it as "partial 16S ribosomal RNA". It matches the Rfam family "Bacterial small subunit ribosomal RNA", at positions 30 to 507 of the family's 1533-position model. The record is from RNAcentral.
AUUGAACGCUGGCGGCAGGCCUAACACAUGCAAGUCGAACGGUAACAGGAAACAGCUUGCUGUUUCGCUGACGAGUGGCGGACGGGUGAGUAAUGUCUGGGAAACUGCCUGAUGGAGGGGGAUAACUACUGGAAACGGUAGCUAAUACCGCAUAACGUCGCAAGACCAAAGAGGGGGACCUUCGGGCCUCUUGCCAUCGGAUGUGCCCAGAUGGGAUUAGCUAGUAGGUGGGGUAACGGCUCACCUAGGCGACGAUCCCUAGCUGGUCUGAGAGGAUGACCAGCCACACUGGAACUGAGACACGGUCCAGACUCCUACGGGGGGCAGCAGUGGGGAAUAUUGCACAAUGGGCGCAAGCCUGAUGCAGCCAUGCCGCGUGUAUGAAGAAGGCCUUCGGGUUGUAAAGUACUUUCAGCGGGGAGGAAGGGAGUAAAGUUAAUACCUUUGCUCAUUGACGUUACCCGCAGAAGAAGCACCGGCUAACUCCGUG